Molecule: ribosomal RNA, 444 nt
Filed under: uncultured Christensenellaceae bacterium
Lineage: Bacteria; Bacillati; Bacillota; Clostridia; Christensenellales; Christensenellaceae
Description: bacterial SSU rRNA
Rfam family: Bacterial small subunit ribosomal RNA
Source: RNAcentral
CCUACGGGAGGCAGCAGUGGGGAAUAUUGGGCAAUGGGCGCAAGCCUGACCCAGCAACGCCGCGUGAGGGAAGAAGGUCUUCGGAUUGUAAACCUCUGUCCUUGGGGACGAAAAAAAUGACGGUACCCAGGGAGGAAGCUCCGGCUAACUACGUGCCAGCAGCCGCGGUAAUACGUAGGGAGCGAGCGUUGUCCGGAAUUACUGGGCGUAAAGGGUGCGUAGGCGGCCAGGCAAGUCAGAUGUGAAAUCCCCGGGCUUAACUCGGGAGUUGCAUUUGAAACUGCUUGGCUUGAGUGCAGGAGAGGAAAGCGGAAUUCCUAGUGUAGCGGUGAAAUGCGUAGAUAUUAGGAGGAACACCAGUGGCGAAGGCGGCUUUCUGGACUGUAACUGACGCUGAGGCACGAAAGCGUGGGGAGCAAACAGGAUUAGAUACCCGUGUAGUCC